GUCGAACGGCAGCACAGAGGAGCUUGCUCCUUGGGUGGCGAGUGGCGGACGGGUGAUAGAAACCUCGGAAUCUACUUUUUCGUGGGGGAUAACGUAGCGAUACUUACGCUAAUACCGCAUACGACCUACGGGUGAAAGCAGGGGACCUUCGGGCCUUGCGCGAUUGAAUGAGCCGAUGUCGGAUUAGCUAGUUGGCGGGGUAAAGGCCCACCAAGGCGACGAUCCGUAGCUGGUCUGAGAGGAUGAUCAGCCACACUGGAACUGAGACACGGUCCAGACUCCUACGGGAGGCAGCAGUGGGGAAUAUUGGACAAUGGGCGCAAGCCUGAUCCAGCCAUACCGCGUGGGUGAAGAAGGCCUUCGGGUUGUAAAGCCCUUUUGUUGGGAAAGAAAUCCAGCCGGCUAAUACCUGGUUGGGAUGACGGUACCCAAAGAAUAAGCACCGGCUAACUUCGUGCCAGCAGCCGCGGUAAUACGAAGGGUGCAAGCGUUACUCGGAAUUACUGGGCGUAAAGCGUGCGUAGGUGGUUGUUUAAGUCUGGUGUGAAAGCCCUGGGCUCCACCUGGGAACUGCAGUGGAAACUGGACAACUAGAGUGUGGUAGAAGGUAGCGGAAUUCCCGGUGUAGCAGUGAAAUGCGUAGAGAUCGGGAGGAACAUCCAUGGCGAAAGCAGCUACCUGGACCCACACUGACACUGAAGGACGAAAGCGUGGGGAGCAAACAAGAAUAAAUAACCUGGUAGUCCACCGCCUAAACGAUGCGGACUGGAUGGUGGGGGGAAUUUGGGACGCAGUAUCGAAGCUAAAGCGUUUAGUUCGCCGGCUGGGGAGGACCGGCCCAAGACUGAAA
This 850-nucleotide ribosomal RNA is filed under the name uncultured bacterium. RNAcentral describes it as "bacterial SSU rRNA". It matches the Rfam family "Bacterial small subunit ribosomal RNA", at positions 61 to 899 of the family's 1533-position model. The record is from RNAcentral.